GUGGCAUUGGCUGUUGUAGUGUGGGCUGCAGUUGUGGUGACAGGUGAAGUUGUAGUUGCAGCUGCAGUUGUAGUGUUAGCCUCUGUCGUAAGAGUGGCGGCAGUUGUGGUGGCAGAAGCUGUUGAAGUGUGGGCUGCAGUUGUGGUUGCAGGGGAUGUUGUAGUGGCAACUGCUGUUGUAGUACCAGCUGCAGUUGUGGUGGCAUUGGCUGUUGUAGUGUGGGCUGCAGUUGUGGUGACAGGGGAAGUUGUAGUGGCAACUGCUGUUGAGGUACCAGCUGCAGUUGUGGUGGCAUUGGCUGUUGUAGUGUGGGCUGCAGUUGUGGUGACAGGUGAAGUUGUAGUUGCAGCUGCAGUUGUAGUGUUAGCCUCUGUCGUAAGAGUGGCGGCAGUUGUGGUGGCAGAAGCUGUUGAAGUGUGGGCUGCAGUUGUGGUUGCAGGGGAUGUUGUAGUGGCAACUGCUGUUGUAGUACCAGCUGCAGUUGUGGUGGCAUUGGCUGUUGUAGUGUGGGCUGCAGUUGUAGUGACAGGUGAAGUUUUAGUAGCAGCUGCAGUUGUAGUAGCAGCCUCUGUUGUAAGAGUGACUGCAGUUGUGGUGGCAGAAAUUGUUGAAGUGUGGGUGGCAGUUGUGGUUUUAGGGGAAGUUGUAGUGGCAACUGCUGUUGUAGUACCAGCUGCAGUUGUGGUGGCAUUGGCUGUUGUAGUACCAGCUGCAGUUGAGGUGGCAUUGGCUGUUGUAGUAUGGGCUGCAGUUGUGGUUAGAGGGGAAGUUGUAGUGGCAAC
Molecule: long non-coding RNA, 782 nt
Organism: Oncorhynchus tshawytscha (Chinook salmon)
Lineage: Eukaryota; Metazoa; Chordata; Actinopteri; Salmoniformes; Salmonidae
Source: Ensembl